GAUGAACGCUGGCGGCGUGCCUAAUACAUGCAAGUCGAGCGAACAGACGAGGAGCUUGCUCCUCUGACGUUAGCGGCGGACGGGUGAGUAACACGUGGAUAACCUACCUAUAAGACUGGGAUAACUUCGGGAAACCGGAGCUAAUACCGGAUAAUAUAUUGAACCGCAUGGUUCAAUAGUGAAAGACGGUUUUGCUGUCACUUAUAGAUGGAUCCGCGCCGCAUUAGCUAGUUGGUAAGGUAACGGCUUACCAAGGCAACGAUGCGUAGCCGACCUGAGAGGGGGAUCGGCCACACUGGAACUGGGACACGGUCCAGACUCCUACGGGAGGCAGCAGUAGGGAAUCUUCCGCAAUGGGCGAAAGCCUGACGGAGCAACGCCGCGUGAGUGAUGAAGGUCUUCGGAUCGUAAAACUCUGUUAUUAGGGAAGAACAAAUGUGUAAGUAACUAUGCACGUCUUGACGGUACCUAAUCAGAAAGCCACGGCUAACUACGUG
This 497-nucleotide ribosomal RNA is filed under the name uncultured bacterium. RNAcentral's name for it is "partial 16S ribosomal RNA". It matches the Rfam family "Bacterial small subunit ribosomal RNA", at positions 28 to 507 of the family's 1533-position model. The record is from RNAcentral.